Drosophila melanogaster (fruit fly) is the source of this 656-nucleotide non-coding RNA. The record is from Ensembl. NCBI's taxonomy places the organism in Eukaryota, Metazoa, Arthropoda, Insecta, Diptera, Drosophilidae.
UUGUGCAGUGGCACACACGUACACCCCCGCACUAUGGAAAACUGUCAAAACAAAUAUGAGUCGCAACAUGUCAAUGCGAUGUCAAAGGUCUUAACCCCCAACCUGAUAUUCCAACCCCCGCCACACGCUAAUUGGUUAAUGUAAACAAGUAGCAAGUCGAUCGAACCCGAAAAGAAGAAGUGCGGCAGUGGGAAUGUUUCAAAUUUCAAGUGUUGACGCGCCGCACAAACAACAACCAUGGAAAAACAAACAGACGACAGGCGGCGACGCCGAUGACGACAACACACUGAACAAAUACUUCAAUUAAUAAACAGACACGCGUCCAUCGAUAAAUAAGUAUGUAUGCUCGCACAAUAUGUUACUUACAACAUCAGUCGACGAACCCGGGAAUCCGAGCCCAAGGGUCUCUCAUCUCUGCCAAGUCUUCCAACUUGGACUGCGGUGGUGUAACCAAACACCAAAUACCAAACACCGCACACCCAGGACUGCUCUACCGCAAAAACAGCCUGAUAAAAGCCUGCCAAGAGCCAGAGACAAGGACUCAGGACAUGUCGGCUGACGAGCACUUCUUGAAGGACCUUCAAGGGUGUCCGAGCCAUGUAAUGUUGGAUUAUGGUUGCACAUGCACGGCUAUUCUCAUAGCACGCACAUUUUAU